Molecule: long non-coding RNA, 1061 nt
Filed under: Capsicum annuum
Lineage: Eukaryota; Viridiplantae; Streptophyta; Magnoliopsida; Solanales; Solanaceae
Description: long non-coding RNA (CANN_LNC016601)
Source: RNAcentral
CCAAAACCGCCUCAUUAGGUGACAGUGAAUCAAUCAAGGCUCGGUCGAAACUCUCGAACGGAAAACCUCGACUCCGAGCUUGCGAAUUGAAUAGAACCGGUUCGAAACACAAUAAGCCCCCAAAAAUACGAGUCGAACAGAAAUCCAAAAAUUCACACGGACAACCGAAACAGAGAUUGCGAUGAGAAAACCAAGAUACCAUAUAAUUUCUGGCGGAACUUGGCUGGAAUCAAAUUCAGAAUGAACAGGAACAACAAAUUGGAAUCCGCUAUAAAAGCUGAAGUCCAACCCAAAUCAAAAACGAAGAACAAAUGUGUCCGAAACAAGAAGGUUAAGUGAAAAGGAACUUGACCUGUGUAGUCGGAGCUCCGACAAGUUCAGACUGCAUCCAGAAAAUGAUGAAAACAGAUCGAAUUUCAGCGACGGAUAGUGUUCCCGAUGAGAUCUCAACGGCUUCUAGUGUUCCUCGCCCAAUCCUCUUUUCAAACUACAUCUAUUUUUUUUCUUCUUAUCACUGUGUGCGUGUGCCUUCUUCUCUGUGUAAAUCCAUGUAAGUGAAGUGUGUUUAUGGAAAUUGAGGUGUGUUUUUGUGUCGAUAGGCUACUGUUUGAUGAAUCUUGUGUAUUCUCUCUGUUGGGAGCUCCAAAAAUAGAAAAGAUGGAGAUCCGUGGCUUCCUUUCUCUUUUUCUUCCUUUUCGAAAAGAAAAUCCCUCUGUAGCUCACUGUCUAUCUCUCGCCCCUUCUCUUCUCUCUCACGCUCAAAUUCCCCCAAACCCCUGUUAUUCUCCUCCUAUGCUACUGAUUCUUUGUUGCUCAAUUGUGUGCGCAUGUAUUCCGGUGAAGUUUUUUCCCAGUGAUGGUGUAUGAAUGUGCAGUCGAGUGUGUGCUAUCGUGAUUCGUGCGUUGUGUAGAAGAAAAGAAAAUGGAGUGUCUAUUACGUUAAGAAGACGGUGGCUGUGUAAUUCAGUGAAGGCGAGUGGAGUUCUGUGUGUCUUUUUUGGUUACUGUGAUAGUGCCAAAUUGUGAGACUGUGAGAGUAUGUGUGUGUUUUUCAUUGUGAG